AUACGUAGGGGGCAAGCGUUAUCCGGAACUACUGGGUGUAAAGGGAGCGCAGACGGCUAAGCAAGUCUGAUGUGAAAGUCAUGGGCUCAACCCAUGGAUUGCAUUGGAAACUGCGAAGCUGGAGUGUCGGAGGGGUAAGCGGAAUUCCUGGUGUAGCGGUGAAAUGCGUAGAUAUCAGGAGGAACACCGGUGGCGAAGGCGGCUUACUGGACGAUCACUGACGUUGAGGCUCGAAAGCGUGGGGAGCAAACAGGAUUAGAUACCCUGGUAGUCCACGCGGUAAACGAUGAAUACUAGGUGUCGGGGGGCGAAGCUCUUCGGUGCCGAAAGCAAACGCAGUAAGUAUUCCACCUGGGGAGUACGUUCGCAAGAAUGAAACUCAAAUGAAUUGACGGGG
RNAcentral lists this ribosomal RNA (397 nucleotides) under uncultured bacterium. RNAcentral describes it as "partial 16S ribosomal RNA". It matches the Rfam family "Bacterial small subunit ribosomal RNA", at positions 523 to 918 of the family's 1533-position model. The record is from RNAcentral.